RNAcentral lists this ribosomal RNA (448 nucleotides) under Serratia symbiotica. RNAcentral's name for it is "bacterial SSU rRNA". It matches the Rfam family "Bacterial small subunit ribosomal RNA", at positions 20 to 464 of the family's 1533-position model. The record is from RNAcentral. Lineage: Bacteria; Pseudomonadati; Pseudomonadota; Gammaproteobacteria; Enterobacterales; Yersiniaceae.
UGGCUCAGAUUGAACGCUGGCGGCAGGCCUAACACAUGCAAGUCGAGCGGUAGCACAAGAGAGCUUGCUCUCUGGGUGACGAGCGGCGGACGGGUGAGUAAUGUCUGGGAAACUGCCUGAUGGCGGGGGAUAACUAGUGGAAACGGUAGCUAAUACCGCAUAACGUCGCAAGACCAAAGUGGGGGACCUUCGGGCCUCACGCCAUCAGAUGUGCCCAGGUGGGAUUAGCUGGUAGGUGGGGUAACGGCUCACCUAGGCGACGAUCCCUAGCUGGUCUGAGAGGAUGACCAGCCACACUGGAACUGAGACACGGUCCAGACUCCUACGGGAGGCAGCAGUGGGGAAUAUUGCACAAUGGGCGCAAGCCUGAUGCAGCCAUGCCGCGUGUGUGAAGAAGGCCUUCGGGUUGUAAAGCACUUUCAGCGAGGAGGAAGGGUAAUGUGUUAAU